Long non-coding RNA from Cololabis saira (Pacific saury), 378 nucleotides. RefSeq lists it as uncharacterized. The transcript is spliced from 3 exons. Lineage: Eukaryota; Metazoa; Chordata; Actinopteri; Beloniformes; Belonidae. The record is from RefSeq and is a predicted model, not a curated record.
GGACGUUCAUGUAUUUCAGCUUCAUCAUGACUGCAUGUCUGCUUUGUGUAUUCCUUAUGUGUUUCCUUCAUGAGAUCAAAGCACAAGCUGGUUCUCAACCUAAACUGAUGGUGGAUCGCCCCGUGAUCACAGAAACGGACUUGGUUACAUUAAAGUGUCAGACUCCAGCAUCUGUUUCAGUGACCAAGUGUUAUUUCCACACUCCAUAUAAAAGUAUCCCUGGCGGCUCCUCCUGUACUCGGACACUGACAGGAACUGAACUGCUGUCGAUUGUACAAAGACAAUCCUCCGCUGACAUUACAGUGAGAUGUUAUUACACUGGGAGGAAUGGAGGUAUUACUUCUAAAUCUGCAGACAGUGAUGCGUCCACCAUCAAAA